UACGUAGGGUGCGAGCGUUAAUCGGAAUUACUGGGCGUAAAGCGUGCGUAGGCGGUUUCAUAAGCUUGAUGUGAAAGCCCCGGGCUCAACCCUGGGGAAUGGCAUUGAGGACUGUGGAGCUAGAGUGCGGCAGAGGGAGGUGGAAUUCCACGUGUAGCAGUGAAAUGCGUAGAGAUGUGGAGGAACACCGAUGGCGAAGGCAGCCUCCUGGGCCGACACUGACGCUGAGGGCACGAAAGCGUGGGGAGCAAACAGG
Molecule: ribosomal RNA, 256 nt
Filed under: uncultured bacterium
Lineage: Bacteria
Description: partial 16S ribosomal RNA
Rfam family: Bacterial small subunit ribosomal RNA
Source: RNAcentral